AGUGACAGCUGCUGAAAGGUGGUUUUCUUCGGACACUCUUCAAGGUGCUGCAUGGUUGUCGUCAGCUCGUGCCGUGAGGUGUCGGGUUAAGUCCCAUAACGAGCGCAACCCUUACUGUUAGUUGCCAGCGGGUAAAGCCGGGGACUCUAGCGGGACUGCCACCGUAAGGUGAGAGGAAGGUGGGGAUGACGUCAAAUCAGCACGGCCCUUAUGUCCAGGGCUACACACGUGUUACAAUGGCCGGUACAAAGGGCAGCUACACUGCGAAGUGAUGCUAAUCUCGAAAGCCGGUCCCAGUUCGGAUCGAAGUCUGCAACCCGACUUCGUGAAGUUGGAUUCGCUAGUAAUCGCGCAUCAGCCAUGGCGCGGUGAAUACGUUCCCGGGCCUUGUACACACCGCCCGUCAAGCCAUGGGAGCCGGGGGUACCUGAAGUCUGCAACCGCAAGGAGCGGCCUAGGGUAAAACUGGUGACUGGGGCU
Molecule: ribosomal RNA, 480 nt
Filed under: uncultured bacterium
Lineage: Bacteria
Description: bacterial SSU rRNA
Rfam family: Bacterial small subunit ribosomal RNA
Source: RNAcentral